UAGCUAGUUGGUGUGGUAAAGGCGCACCAAGGCCAUGAUCGGUAGCUGGUCUGAGAGGAUGAACAGCCACACUGGGACUGAGACACGGCUCAGACUCCUACGGGAGGCAGCAGUGGGGAAUAUUGGACAAUGGGGGCAACCCUGAUCCAGCGAUGCCGCGUGUGUGAAGAAGGCCUGAGGGUUGUAAAGCACUUUUAGUGGGGAGGAGGGUCGAUAGGUUAAGAGCUAAUUGAUUGGACGUUACCCACAGAAAAAGCACCGGCUAACUCCGUGCCAGCAGCCGCGGUAAUACGGAGGGUGCGAGCGUUAAUCGGAAUGACUGGGCGUAAAGGGUGCGUAGGCGGUUAGUUAAGUUGUGGGUGAAAUCACUGGGCUCAACCUGGUGUGGAAUCAUGAUACUGGCUGACUAGAGUACAGGAGAGGGUAGUGGAAUUUCCGGUGUAGCGGUGAAAUGCGUAGAGAUCGGAAGGAACACCAGUUGCGAAGGCGGCUACCUGGACUGAGACUGACGCUGAGGCACGAAAGCGUGGGGAGCAAACAGGAUUAGAUACCCUGGUAGUCCACGCUGUAAACGAUGUCAACUAGCUGUUAGUGGCGAAGAGCUAUUAGUGGCGC
This 615-nucleotide ribosomal RNA is filed under the name uncultured Legionella sp. RNAcentral's name for it is "bacterial SSU rRNA". It matches the Rfam family "Bacterial small subunit ribosomal RNA", at positions 242 to 849 of the family's 1533-position model. The record is from RNAcentral. Lineage: Bacteria; Pseudomonadati; Pseudomonadota; Gammaproteobacteria; Legionellales; Legionellaceae.